GUGCUCAUUUAAGCAACACAGAUACUAAAAUUGGAAUGAUACAGAGAUCAGCAUGGCCCCUGUUCAAGGAGGACACACAAGUUUGUGAAAUGUCUCAUAUUUAG
RNAcentral lists this small nuclear RNA (104 nucleotides) under Microtus ochrogaster (prairie vole). The record is from RNAcentral. Lineage: Eukaryota; Metazoa; Chordata; Mammalia; Rodentia; Cricetidae.